Molecule: long non-coding RNA, 488 nt
Organism: Pipra filicauda (Wire-tailed manakin)
Lineage: Eukaryota; Metazoa; Chordata; Aves; Passeriformes; Pipridae
Exons: 3
Source: RefSeq, a predicted model, not a curated record
GAGCUGUUGCAGAGGCAGCCAACUGCUCCAUAUUUGGCUUCUAUUACCCAUUUACAUGCUGGAGAGAGGAGAGGGAGCGAGCGCUGUACCGCAGACAUCAUUUCUACUACAGCGGUGGAGACAUCCCGGACCUGUGUCACUGCAGGGGGAAGAAAAAAAGCCAAACAAACAAAAAAGCAGACCCACCCCCCGUGAUCAGCUAGGAAGACAUUUGUGUGCGAGUCUCUCUCUGACCCCCCCACCCCCGCCAACCCCACCUCCACUGACACUUUACAUCACAUCGUGGGCCAAACCAGAUGGGCAAGCAAUACAAGCUGUGAAUUUAUUCUUGACCCUGUAGGACAGUGACGACCUUCAUUUUUGUCUUCACCAUACAGUUAUGCACUGCCAAUAAGCAAAAAGGUCAAGAAAAGCACUAGCUCAGUGGCUGAAUUUUUCUGAAGUGCUUUACAGUAGGGAAAGUGGAGAAACCUCUUAAAGUGCUGUCU